Molecule: ribosomal RNA, 820 nt
Filed under: uncultured Geobacter sp.
Lineage: Bacteria; Pseudomonadati; Thermodesulfobacteriota; Desulfuromonadia; Geobacterales; Geobacteraceae
Description: bacterial SSU rRNA
Rfam family: Bacterial small subunit ribosomal RNA
Source: RNAcentral
CUGCGGCUGCUACCUGCAGUCGAACGUGAUCCGCCCUUCGGGGUGGUGAAAGUGGCGCACGGGUGAGUAACGCGUGGAUUAUCUGCCCGAGGAUUUGGGAUAACCUCUCGAAAGGGGUGCUAAUACCCAAUAAGCCCACGGGGUCUACGGAUCUUGCGGGAAAAGGGGGGGACCUUCGGGCCUCCUGUCCUUGGAUGAGUCUGCGUACCAUUAGCUAGUUGGUGGGGUAAUGGCCUACCCAGGCGACGAUGGUUACCUGGUCUGAGAGGAUGAUCAACCACACUGGAACUGAGACUCGGUCCAGACUCCUACGGGAGGCAACAGUGGGGAAUUUUGCGCAAUGGGGGAAACCCUGACGCAGCAACGCCGCGUGGGUGAUGAAGGCCUUCGGGUCUUAUAGCUCUGUCUGGAGGGAACAAAUGAUUGGGACCUAAUACCUCUUGAUCUUGACGGUACCUCUGAACGAAGCACCGGCUAACUCCCUGCCAUCAUCCGCGGUAAUACGGACGGUGCAAGCGUUGUUCGUAAUUAUUGGGCGUGCAACGCGUGUACUCGGUCUUUUACGUAUGAUGUGAAUCUUCCGUGCUCAACCUGAGAAGUGCAUUGCAAACUGGGAGGCUUGAGCCGGGAGAGGAGAGUGGAAUUCCUGGUGUAGGAGUGAUUCUGGUAGAUAUUCUGACGCAGACCGGUGGCGAUAGCGGCUCUCUGGAGCGAUACUGACGCUGAGACCCUAGCGCGAGAGUAUCAGACCUAAGUAUAUACGCUGUUAGUCCCCGCCGUACCGAUGUGUACUAGUGUUGCCGCGUAUUGACCCCUGCGU